Molecule: ribosomal RNA, 442 nt
Filed under: uncultured bacterium
Lineage: Bacteria
Description: partial 16S ribosomal RNA
Rfam family: Bacterial small subunit ribosomal RNA
Source: RNAcentral
CCUACGGGAGGCUGCAGUGGGGAAUAUUGGGCAAUGGACGCAAGUCUGACCCAGCAACGCCGCGUGAAGGAAGAAGGCUUUCGGGUUGUAAACUUCUUUUAAGGGGGAAGGGCAGAAGACGGUACACCAUGAAUAAGCCACGGCUAACUAGGUGCCAGAAGCCGGGGUAAUACGGAGGUGGCAAGCGCUGUCCGGAUUUACGGGGGGUAAAGGGCGGGCAGCCGGGAAGACAAGUCAGAUGUGAAAUCCCGGGGCUCAACCGCGGAACUGCAUUUGAAACUGGUUUUCUUGAGUAUCGGAGAGGUAAUCGGAAUUCCUAGUGUAGCGGUGAAAUGCGUAGAUAUUAGGAAGAACACCAGUGGCGAAGGCGGAUUACUGGACGACAACUGACGGUGAGGCGCGAAAGCGUGGGGAGCAAACAGGAUUAGAUACCCGGGUAGUC